UACGUAGGGCGCAAGCGUUGUCCGGAAUUAUUGGGCGUAAAGAGCUCGUAGGCGGUUUGUCGCGUCUGCUGUGAAAACCUAAGGCUCAACCUUGGGCUUGCAGUGGGUACGGGCAGACUAGAGUGAUGUAGGGGAGACUGGAAUUCCUGGUGUAGCGGUGAAAUGCGCAGAUAUCAGGAGGAACACCGAUGGCGAAGGCAGGUCUCUGGGCAUUAACUGACGCUGAGGAGCGAAAGCAUGGGGAGCGAACAGG
Molecule: ribosomal RNA, 253 nt
Filed under: uncultured bacterium
Lineage: Bacteria
Description: partial 16S ribosomal RNA
Rfam family: Bacterial small subunit ribosomal RNA
Source: RNAcentral